UUGGAGGGCAAGUCUGGUGCCAGCAGCCGCGGUAAUUCCAGCUCCAAUAGCGUAUAUUAAAGUUGUUGCAGUUAAAAAGCUCGUAGUUGAACUUCGGGGUCUACCCAUUGGUCAGGCUUAAUUGUCUGCACUGGUGAGAUGGAUCUCUACCUUCUGAGGAACUUUCAUGCCAUUUAUUUAGUGUGAUGGGAAAUCAGGACUGUUACUUUGAAAAAAUUAGAGUGUUUAAAGCAGACUAUCGUCUGAAUACAUUAGCAUGGAAUAAUGAAAUAGGACGGACUGAUUCUAUUUCGUUGGUUUCUAGGGUCACCGUAAUGAUUAAUAGGGAUAGUUGGGGGCAUUAGUAUUCAAUUGUCAGAGGUGAAAUUCUUGGAUUUAUUGAAGACUAACUACUGCGAAAGCAUUUGCCAAGGAUGUUUUCAUUAAUCAAGAACGAAAGUUAGGGGAUCGAAGACGAUCAGAUACCGUCGUAGUCUUAACCAUAAACUAUGCCGACUAGGGAUCGGAUGAUGUUAAUUUUUUAAUGACUCAUUCGGCGCCUUACGGGAAAC
Molecule: ribosomal RNA, 551 nt
Filed under: uncultured Diversispora
Lineage: Eukaryota; Fungi; Glomeromycota; Glomeromycetes; Diversisporales; Diversisporaceae
Description: SSU rRNA
Rfam family: Eukaryotic small subunit ribosomal RNA
Source: RNAcentral